CAGUCGCCGCGGUAAUACGAAGGGUGCAAGCGUUAAUCGGAAUUACUGGGCGUAAAGCGUGCGUAGGCGGUGAGUUAAGUCUGCUGUGAAAUCCCCGGGCUCAACCUGGGAAUGGCAGUGGAUACUGGCUCGCUAGAGUGUGUCAGAGGAUGGUGGAAUUCCCGGUGUAGCGGUGAAAUGCGUAGAGAUCGGGAGGAACGCCGAUGGCGAAGGCAGCCACCUGGUCCACUUCUGACGCUGAGGCACGAAAGCGUGGGGAGCAAACAGGAUUAGAUACCCGAGUAGUCCCUGUCUCUUAUAC
Molecule: ribosomal RNA, 301 nt
Filed under: uncultured bacterium
Lineage: Bacteria
Description: partial 16S ribosomal RNA
Rfam family: Bacterial small subunit ribosomal RNA
Source: RNAcentral